This 1461-nucleotide ribosomal RNA is filed under the name Chryseobacterium sp. RNAcentral describes it as "bacterial SSU rRNA". It matches the Rfam family "Bacterial small subunit ribosomal RNA". Lineage: Bacteria; Pseudomonadati; Bacteroidota; Flavobacteriia; Flavobacteriales; Weeksellaceae. The record is from RNAcentral.
GAGUUUUGAACAUGGCUCAGGAUGAACGCUAGCGGGAGGCCUAACACAUGCAAGCCGAGCGGUAGAGAUUCUUCGGAAUCUUGAGAGCGGCGUACGGGUGCGGAACACGUGUGCAACCUGCCUUUAUCAGGGGGAUAGCCUUUCGAAAGGAAGAUUAAUACCCCAUAAUAUAUUUGAUGGCAUCAUUAGAUAUUGAAAACUGAGGUGGAUAGAGAUGGGCACGCGCAAGAUUAGAUAGUUGGUGAGGUAACGGCUCACCAAGUCAAUGAUCUUUAGGGGGCCUGAGAGGGUGAUCCCCCACACUGGUACUGAGACACGGACCAGACUCCUACGGGAGGCAGCAGUGAGGAAUAUUGGACAAUGGGUGAGAGCCUGAUCCAGCCAUCCCGCGUGAAGGACGACGGCCCUAUGGGUUGUAAACUUCUUUUAUACUGGGAUAAACCUACUUACGUGUAAGUAGCUGAAGGUACAGUAUGAAUAAGCACCGGCUAACUCCGUGCCAGCAGCCGCGGUAAUACGGAGGGUGCAAGCGUUAUCCGGAUUUAUUGGGUUUAAAGGGUCCGUAGGCGGAUCUGUAAGUCAGUGGUGAAAUCUCAUAGCUUAACUAUGAAACUGCCAUUGAUACUGCAGGUCUUGAGUAAGGUAGAGGUAGCUGGAAUAAGUAGUGUAGCGGUGAAAUGCAUAGAUAUUACUUAGAACACCAAUUGCGAAGGCAGGUUACCAUGUCUUAACUGACGCUGAUGGACGAAAGCGUGGGGAGCGAACAGGAUUAGAUACCCUGGUAGUCCACGCCGUAAACGAUGCUAACUCGUUUUUGGGUUUUCGGAUUCAGAGACUAAGCGAAAGUGAUAAGUUAGCCACCUGGGGAGUACGUUCGCAAGAAUGAAACUCAAAGGAAUUGACGGGGGCCCGCACAAGCGGUGGAUUAUGUGGUUUAAUUCGAUGAUACGCGAGGAACCUUACCAAGGCUUAAAUGGGAAUUGACAGGCUUAGAAAUAGGCUUUUCUUCGGACAAUUUUCAAGGUGCUGCAUGGUUGUCGUCAGCUCGUGCCGUGAGGUGUUAGGUUAAGUCCUGCAACGAGCGCAACCCCUGUCACUAGUUGCUAACAUUCAGUUGAGGACUCUAGUGAGACUGCCUACGCAAGUAGAGAGGAAGGUGGGGAUGACGUCAAAUCAUCACGGCCCUUACGCCUUGGGCCACACACGUAAUACAAUGGCCGGUACAGAGGGCAGCUACCAGGUGACUGGAUGCGAAUCUCGAAAGCCGGUCUCAGUUCGGAUUGGAGUCUGCAACUCGACUCUAUGAAGCUGGAAUCGCUAGUAAUCGCGCAUCAGCCAUGGCGCGGUGAAUACGUUCCCGGGCCUUGUACACACCGCCCGUCAAGCCAUGGAAGUCUGGGGUACCUGAAGUCGGUGACCGUAACAGGAGCUGCCUAGGGUAAAACAGGUAACUAGGGCUAA